CGGCGGGCUGGGCUCGGAGACCAGGUGCCAGACCCGGGGAGUCUAGCGGCUCUUGGCAGAGCCGGGAGCUACUCUAGCUCUGCCUCCUUAACUUCUUGACGUUGCUGAGGAGGAAGGAGAGAUGACCAAUUCCCAGGAACCUGUUACAUUCAAGGAUGUGGCCAUGGACUUCACCGAGGAGGAGUGGGGGCAAUUGGAUCCCACACAAAGGGCCCUGUACAAAGAGGUGAUGCUGGAGAUCUAUGGCAACCUGGUCUUAGUGGGAAAGAAACUUUAUGACUGUGCCGAGUGUGGCAAGAGCUUCAGUCGGAGCACAGAUCUUCGCUACCAUCAGAGAAUUCACACUGGAGAGAAACCUUUUGUGUGUGAUACUUGUGGCAAAGGCUUCAGUUAUAACACAAAUCUUCGCGUGCAUCAGAGGGUCCACACAGGAGAGAAACCUUUUAAGUGCAAGGAGUGCGGCAAGGGCUUUAAUCAGAGCUCCAACCUUCGCAUCCACCAGAGAGUCCACACUGGAGAGAAACCUUUCAUGUGUGGUACAUGUGGCAAGGGCUUUAGUUAUAACACCAAUCUUCGCGUGCAUCAGAGAGUCCACACAGGAGAGAAACCUUUUAAGUGUGAAGAGUGUGGCAAGGGCUUCCAUCAGAGCUCCAACCUUCGCAUUCAUUGGAGAGUCCACACUAGAGCGAAACUGUACAAAUGUGAAAAGUGUUGUAAGAGAUUCAGUGAGAACACAGACCUCCAAGUGCAUAAGAGAGUCCACACAAGAGAAACCACUUAAAUGUGAAACCCUUAAACCACAAGCUUCCAUGCCCAUCAGAAAGUCCACACAGGAGAGAAACCUUUAGGUGUGAGGAGUGUGGUAAGGAUUUCGAUCACAGUGAAUCUUCACAUUCUCCAGAGAAUGAAACUACAGAUGUGGAGUUUGCAAGCAGUCCCUAAUGCUUCCCAGUCCCUACUGACAACAGUGUUAAUUCUCCUAAUUACAAAAUGAUAUAUGCCUAUUGUAAAAUAUGAAAAUAUUAUGAAGCAAAAGUAAGUGUAACUGAUUUAUUAUGGAGUGUCAACUCAGCGGGGUAUAUAAGAUUAUGAAAUUCCCCCCCACCCCCCAGCUCUGCCUUCAUCCAUGUUCUGUUGAAUCCCCAUGAAUGAAUGUAUGAGUGAGUGAGUACUGAGUGGGUGAGAGAGACACUGAGGGAGGGCUGUAGGAAAGAGGAAGGUUUUCCCUCAUCAGUUCCCUGAGGAAGCAUACAAACUGGGUAAGAGAUUACAACUGGUGAAAAUACUGAUAUCUGCAAUCCAUAUCACAGACAAAGAGAUUCAUCUGCCUAUUUAUCAAGAGCUCUUAGAAAUCAAAAAGAAAAAGCACACAAAAAAAGAUGUGAAGAGACUAUUCAGAUAUAAUACAAACGCCCUUAAAUAUUUGCAAGAGUGACAAACUUUUCUCAUAAUAUGAGAAAUGCACAUCAAAACCAUGCUGAGAUACCAUUUCCCACCUAUGGGAUUAGCAAAAAAUUGAAAAGUUUAAAAAACAUUUUUUUUCUUUGUUUGCCCAAGUGGCAUGUGGGAUCGUAGUUCCCUGACUAGGCAUAGAAUCUGCGCCCCCUGCAUUGGGAGCACAGAGUCUUAACCACUGGACUGCCAGGGAAGUCCCUAAAAAACCUAUUGUUAAUGAGGCUAUAGAGAAGUAGGCAUUCUCAUACCUUGCCUUGGGGGUUGGAAAAUAGAACAACUCCUGUGGAGAAUAAUUUGACAAUAUCUACCAAAACUGUAGAUAACAUUUGCCUUUUAAUCCAGAUAUUCUAUUUCUGAGACUCUAAACUACAGAUACACUUGCAUAUGUGUUUUGCAAAUACUUGGCAUUGUUUCCAGUAGUAAAAAGUAGAAAACAACAUAAAUGUCCACCAGCAGAGAACUGGUUUAAUAAACUGUCCACAGAGUGGAAUGGUAUGUAGCUAUAAUAAAAAGUAAGGAAAAUUUCUUUAUUAAAAUAUAAAUAUCUCCAAGAUAUAUUAUUAAAUGAAAAAUGCAAGGUGAAGAACAAUGUGUGUAUGUGCAUGUGUAUAUAAAUAUAUUUUUUAUAAAAAUAUAUAAUGAGUUUUAUGUAAGAAGGAGAAUGAGAAUAUAUAUCUGCAUUUGCUUCUAUUUGCAUAAUGUCACACGGAAAGGAUAAACAAGGGACUAGUAAAAUAAUUGGGGGAACGGGGGUGAGAAUGAAGCUUAUCUGUACUUUUUUUCUUUUUGUAUUUUUAAUGUAGUUUUGAUUUGAACAUUCUACCUAUUUUUAAGAUAACACUGAAUGACGCCCAAUGUCUUUUUGGCAUUUAUUGAUAGUAUAAUAUUGGU
Hippopotamus amphibius kiboko is the source of this 2346-nucleotide RNA transcript. It is a transcript of the gene named zinc finger protein 239-like, with no coding region annotated. The transcript is spliced from 5 exons. NCBI's taxonomy places the organism in Eukaryota, Metazoa, Chordata, Mammalia, Artiodactyla, Hippopotamidae. The record is from RefSeq and is a predicted model, not a curated record.